GGGGGGGGGGGUCCAACACAAAGGAUAAAAUUCCCAAGCUGAUACGGCUUUUGUUCGUUUUGAACACUUUGUAAUAUGGUUAUGAAUAACCAUUAAUUAUGUAUCAUAAACCCUUGGUAGCUACCUUUUGUAAACAACAUAAGCUAAACAUUCCUUAUCCAACUGGCAAAAUAAGAAAGUAUGAGUUUGUCAACUAACUAUUGCAAAUAUUAAAGAAAUUAAGAUAAUAAUGUACUCAAAUGGACAAGUAUUAUUUGGGUUUAAACCUUCGCUUCCAACAUAUAGCUCUACAAAUUCUUGUGGAUAGGCAUAUAGCUCGAAGAAAGGGUAAACAUCAGCAAUAGAUGUUGGCAAAUUUUGUUUUCGCUUGUAGGUAAUGCAAAGAGGGAUCUUCAACCUAGCUCCAAUAAUUGUUUCCUCUAGAAAUAAUCUAUAUUGCCAUCUACCAUUAUUAGAAUGGGGGGUAUUAGAUUAGAUGUUUUAAGCUUAAACUUUAUUUCAACGUCAAAUUUAAAAAUAUCAAUGAAAAUAACUUAAGAUGCUCUUUCCAUCAAUUGUGUGUAGAGUAGAGCACCAUGAUUCAUUGCCUCUAUAAUGUUAAAUCUAUAAUUGUUGUUUUGCCAAAUUCAUUCAUCACGAAACAUAAUAGGCACACGUACCAAAGUUAUUUCCCAUUAUAAUACAACACAUAAUUAUAUUAAGAUAAAUACAAAAAGAAAAUGACACAAGGUAUGUGUAGCAUGUAAAAUUGUUUGUCCAUCUAUAUGACAUCAGUCGUGUAAUUUGUUAAGCUAUACGACUACAAAUAAGUAAAUAGUUAAAUGAUAUAUUUAAGUGAAAAAAUUUGAAUAUUUAAUGAAAAAAAUACAUUUUUUACAAUAAUAUAAUGUUAAAGUGUCAUAACAACUAAAACAUUUUAUCCACUUACACAAUUGUAAUAGUGUAAAUUCAUACAAAUACGACUGCAAUUGUGUAAAAUGGGUGCAGUAGAAAAAAUUUUAUUUUAAAAUUUUGAGAACAAAAUGAGAUUAAAAUCCAUUACAUACAGUGAUAUAAUGCAAAAUGUAAUGGAAAUGUGAGUUAUUUUAUUAGUUAUCCACUACAAGGAAAUUGUGUUUUGGUGACUAUAAAUUUAGUCUUUAAAACUUAUCCAAACAGCCACAAAAUGUUUCUACGACUGUUUAUUUUUAGUGGUACAAUAGAUAUAGAAUGUCACUUAAGGAAAGCUUUUACGACUAAAUUACCUUAGUCACUGAAUACACUUAUAGAUGACUAUUACAUUAGUCAUAUAUGAUAAUUAAAUGAGUUAGAAUCAUCUUGGGAAUCGAGUUAUAGGCCUCAUCGUUUCAACAAGCCAUUGGAGACAAUAUUUCGUUGAGCCUCGCUCAGAAACGCAAUUGUUAAGAGAAAGAAAGUGAAUUGGAAUGUGGCGACUUUGGCUUCGUGAAUUGAAUGGAUGAUGACAAAUGGUAUGACUAACUGAGGCUCAAAGAGUUGUGUUGUGCUGUGUUUGUUUACUUCUUUUUCUACUCCUCCACUACUCUACUUGCUUGUUCGUCAUGUUUCUUUGUUCGUUCCUCCAGCCAACAAUUAAAAAGUUUUUUUUUUCCUUUUCUCCAGUUGCGAUGCAAGUGAUAAUUAUUAAUAGAUAGAUAAGUAAACUUUGAAAAGAACUAUUAUUAUUGUUGAGUUUCUUUUGUCUUUGACUGUGUUCAUCGAUUAUAAACUAUGAAUGCCUCACAUUUGGGCUGUGUUUAUUUGCUGGAGUGGGAGUGAAGAGUGUGGAUUCCUCCCACUCCAGCGUUUACUUGCUUAAAAUAGCCACAGAUUGGGAAUCCUACUCCGUGGGCCCCACUCAUUUUUGGAGUGGGGAGUGGGAGUGGGAAUCCACUCCCACCUCUCCCCUUUU
This 1909-nucleotide long non-coding RNA is filed under the name Citrus x clementina. Its description in RNAcentral is "Citrus clementina (C. clementina) long non-coding RNA (CCLE_LNC001248)". Lineage: Eukaryota; Viridiplantae; Streptophyta; Magnoliopsida; Sapindales; Rutaceae. The record is from RNAcentral.